UGUUGGGUAGUCCGCACGAGCGCACCCUGUCGUUAGUUGCCAGCAUUUCGGAUGGGCACUUUAACGAGACUCCCGGUGUCAAACCGGCGGAAGAUGGGGAUGACGUCAAGUCCUCAUGGCCCUUAUGGUCGGGGCUACACACGUACUACAAUGGCACGUACAAAGGGUUGCAAUACCGCGAGGUGGAGCCAAUCCCAAAAAAGGUGCCUCAGUUCGGAUCGGAGUCUGCAACUCGACUCCGUGAAGUCGGAAUCGCUAGUAAUCGUGGAUCAGCAUGCCACGGUGAAUACGUUCCCGGGCCUUGUACACACCGCCCGUCACACCACGAAAGUUGGCUGGACCCGAAGUCGCUAACCCAACCUUAGGGAGGGAUGCGCCUACGGUCUGGUUGAUGAUUGGGGUGAAGUCGUAACAAGGUAGCCGUAGGGGAACCUGCGGCUGGAUCACCUCCUUU
Molecule: ribosomal RNA, 454 nt
Filed under: uncultured bacterium
Lineage: Bacteria
Description: bacterial SSU rRNA
Rfam family: Bacterial small subunit ribosomal RNA
Source: RNAcentral